AGUAGGUUGGCAGAAUAAUGUGAUUGACUUAGGAUCAAUAUAUGAGAUUUACCUCUCACCUACUA
This 65-nucleotide transfer RNA is filed under the name Pharyngocirrus uchidai. Its description in RNAcentral is "tRNA-Leu". It matches the Rfam family "tRNA". Rfam says of the family: Transfer RNA (tRNA) molecules are approximately 80 nucleotides in length. Their secondary structure includes four short double-helical elements and three loops (D, anti-codon, and T loops). Further hydrogen bonds mediate the characteristic L-shaped molecular structure. tRNAs have two regions of fundamental functional importance: the anti-codon, which is responsible for specific mRNA codon recognition, and the 3' end, to which the tRNAs corresponding amino acid is attached (by aminoacyl-tRNA synthetases). tRNAs cope with the degeneracy of the genetic code in two manners: having more than one tRNA (with a specific anti-codon) for a particular amino acid; and 'wobble' base-pairing, i.e. permitting non-standard base-pairing at the 3rd anti-codon position. Lineage: Eukaryota; Metazoa; Annelida; Polychaeta; Saccocirridae. The record is from RNAcentral.